UGCAGUCGAGCGGACAGAAGGGAGCUUGCUCCCGGAUGUUAGCGGCGGACGGGUGAGUAACACGUGGGUAACCUGCCUGUAAGACUGGGAUAACUCCGGGAAACCGGAGCUAAUACCGGAUAGUUCCUUGAACCGCAUGGUUCAAGGAUGAAAGACGGUUUCGGCUGUCACUUACAGAUGGACCCGCGGCGCAUUAGCUAGUUGGUGAGGUAACGGCUCACCAAGGCGACGAUGCGUAGCCGACCUGAGAGGGUGAUCGGCCACACUGGGACUGAGACACGGCCCAGACUCCUACGGGAGGCAGCAGUAGGGAAUCUUCCGCAAUGGACGAAAGUCUGACGGAGCAACGCCGCGUGAGUGAUGAAGGUUUUCGGAUCGUAAAGCUCUGUUGUUAGGGAAGAACAAGUGCAAGAGUAACUGCUUGCACCUUGACGGUACCUAACCAGAAAGCCACGGCUAACUACGUGCCAGCAGCCGCGGUAAUACGUAGGUGGCAAGCGUUGUCCGGAAUUAUUGGGCGUAAAGGGCUCGCAGGCGGUUUCUUAAGUCUGAUGUGAAAGCCCCCGGCUCAACCGGGGAGGGUCAUUGGAAACUGGGAAACUUGAGUGCAGAAGAGGAGAGUGGAAUUCCACGUGUAGCGGUGAAAUGCGUAGAGAUGUGGAGGAACACCAGUGGCGAAGGCGACUCUCUGGUCUGUAACUGACGCUGAGGAGCGAAAGCGUGGGGAGCGAACAGGAUUAGAUACCCUGGUAGUCCACGCCGUAAACGAUGAGUGCUAAGUGUUAGGGGGUUUCCGCCCCUUAGUGCUGCAGCUAACGCAUUAAGCACUCCGCCUGGGGAGUACGGUCGCAAGACUGAAACUCAAAGGAAUUGACGGGGGCCCGC
RNAcentral lists this ribosomal RNA (885 nucleotides) under Bacillus sp. AU690_Ted2_4C. RNAcentral's name for it is "bacterial SSU rRNA". It matches the Rfam family "Bacterial small subunit ribosomal RNA", at positions 56 to 924 of the family's 1533-position model. Lineage: Bacteria; Bacillati; Bacillota; Bacilli; Caryophanales; Bacillaceae. The record is from RNAcentral.